CUCACCACAUAAAUCACCGUCACUGAAGUUGUACUCAGAGACAAGAAAUACUUUGUGAGCCUGUUACAACAACGACAUUGUUGAAGACGUAAUCAUUUGUUUGUUUGUGCCACAAAGUUCUAGUUAGUUGUAACCAGGAAGGAAGCAGCCUUCCAUAUUUAUUUAUUUAGUCAAAUGUGAUAUGUACAGUACAGAGACAGAGGCUGUAUAGAGUUUUUAAUACACCAGGUACAAUUCUUAUAAACCAAUCACACUGUUCUUAUUACAUAAGUCAUUGGGAAAACACCAUAGAUAGUACCUAAUUACCGUUUAUAAAAGAUGACAAGGAACAGUCAUAAAAAUACAUAGUGUAGGAUUACUAUUUUUCUCUCAUGAUUCAAACAAUAAACGCAUAAUUUUUAAAAAAAAUGAAUGAAAAUGUGCAUGAAGUAAUAUUUGCUAUACAAAAAAUGACUCGUUGGAUAUGGCAGGCACUUGAUCCACUUCCAAGUCUAACGUGCGGAACACUGUGGAAACAUCAAGCACCAAAACCAGCUGUUUGGUUAGAAUAUUCUCCCCCUUCCCCCGACUCCUCCUCUUCCUUACAACCCAGAAAAUACAUUAAAAAGCAGAGAAAGGAGUAAUACGGUAGCAAUAUGUUUGGAACGGAGGGCGAUAUCACUUAUUGAGAAGCAUAUAAAACUAUGGUGAGAGAGUGUGAAAGAGAGGAAAAGAGGCAAACAGACAGAGAGAGAGAGUGAGAGAGAGAGAGAGGGGCGAAGAGAGAGAGAGAGAGGCGAAGAGAGAAAGAGAGAGAGAGAGGGGCGAAGAGAGAGAGAGAGAGAGAGGGGCGAAGAGAGAGAGAGAGAGAGGGGCGAAGAGAGAAAGAGAGAGAGAGAGGGGCGAAGAGAGAGAGAGAGAGAGAGGCGAAGAGAGAAAGAGAGAGAGAGAGGGGCGAAGAGAGAGAGAGAGAGAGGGGCGAAGAGAGAAAGAGGAGAGAGAGGGGCGAAGAGAGAAAGAGAGAGAGGGAGAGAGAGAGAGAGGGGCGGAGAGAGAGAGAGAGAGGCGAAGAGAGAAAGAGAGAGAGAGAGGGGCGAAGAGAGAGAGAGAGAGGGAGGCGAAGAGAGAAAAGAGAGAGAGAGAGGGGCGAAGAGAGAAAGAGAGAGAGGGGUGAAGAGAGAAAGAGAGAGAAAGCAAGAGAGGAAAUGAUAAUAAAUUGCAAAAUAGAGAGCGUGAAUAUGGAAGUAUGGAAAUGUCAAAUGUGCCUUUUCUCCAGCCCUGGUCUGUUCCAGCGGCUCAGUGGAAUACUUCUGAGGAAGCAAUAGAAUACAUCGCUAGUCAGGUCAAUCUACCCUUACAGACUGCCUCAUUCCCACCUCCCACUUGUCUUAUUCGCUUCACUCCUCUCCUAUUGCCGUUUCAUUGACACCCAUUGUUUCAACAUCUGCCAAGGUAUAUUCAAAGACAUGGGAGGCAUCACAUUACAG
Molecule: long non-coding RNA, 1466 nt
Organism: Oncorhynchus tshawytscha (Chinook salmon)
Lineage: Eukaryota; Metazoa; Chordata; Actinopteri; Salmoniformes; Salmonidae
Source: Ensembl